GCCUGGGUGGCUCAGUUGGUUGAGCGUCUGACUCUUGGUUUCAGCUCAGGUCAUGAUCUUGCGGUUCGUGAGUUCGAGCCCCACAUCGGGCU
Molecule: transfer RNA, 92 nt
Organism: Felis catus (domestic cat)
Lineage: Eukaryota; Metazoa; Chordata; Mammalia; Carnivora; Felidae
Rfam family: tRNA
About the family: Transfer RNA (tRNA) molecules are approximately 80 nucleotides in length.
Source: Rfam